Long non-coding RNA from Helianthus annuus (common sunflower), 3732 nucleotides. RefSeq lists it as uncharacterized. The transcript has 19 exons. Lineage: Eukaryota; Viridiplantae; Streptophyta; Magnoliopsida; Asterales; Asteraceae. The record is from RefSeq and is a predicted model, not a curated record.
AAUCCUAAAUGUCAACUUUUCAAGCCUCCCCCCUUAAUCUGAUCCUAGGUGUCAACUUUUCAAACCUCCCCCAUUCUAGGUGUAAUUUUCCUAGAUUUUUUAUUUUUAAUUAAAUUUUAUGCUAAAGAAGAAAGGUAAACAUCUGAUUAAAUCACUACCAAGGAAAAUGGGCGCCUAAUUGACUUUCAUAGAGAAGAUUCAAAUUUUGAAUCCCUUCGAUUUCCUCAAACAUGCUAACAAAAACAAAGGAGAUAACGUUUAGGGGUUCUUGCAUCAUUGCCUUUUUCCCAUCGCAGAUGCCUAUCCUUAUCGUGGCUUCUCUAAUAAUUGAAGCCCUAAUCAAAGUUGUUGCUUCUCUAACAAUUGAAGCCCUGAUCAACGUUAUUGCUUCUCCCCGUAUGUCUUUCUUCCUCGAUGAUGCCCUAAAUCUCUUCCAGGUUCGAUGUCAAUGGUAGGUGUUUUCGGUAGAGGUGGAAUUUUGGCUCUGAUCGGGAUUACAUGUGCCUGAUUUGGUGGGGAUAUCAGAUUCCGGUCAAGGCUAGGGUUCCGGCGAGUACUUAGUGCCUCACGACUACUCCGGCUACAACUUGGUUUUCUGGUGACUAGCGGUUUAAUUCCGGUGAAUAGGACAACAUAAACCUGAAAGAAAACACAUAUGGAUACCGAAGGAAAUGGAGAAAAUGCCUCUUUGGUUCUGAUAAAGCAAGGGGCUGAAGCUAUAAUUAACUAAGCCUCAAUGAAGAUUCAAGCUUCUGAUCUGGAAUGAAAAUGCAAGAAGAUUUCAAAAUUCAACAUUGAAAUAUGAAAUUUGGUACACGGAAUUUUUGGGAUUGCUUUUCAUAUCACGGUUCAACCAUGGUGUGUAGGAAGGAUGUCACCUUCCUUAUCAUAAAGCUUGAUGUUUGAGGGUGACUAUAUCAAAUGGGAAAAGAAAAGAAAUCUCAUUCAAUGGAAGUUGCUUCUGUAUAAAAGUGGAGAUCAUAUAUAGUUAACGAGUUGGAGGAAUGGCUCAGAGAAGAGAAGCUGGUGAACAACUCGCAUUUCCCCCUUCUUCCACCAAGAACCUUUUAGACCUUCUUGAUUGGUUCAGUUGUUAUAUUCGACAACAUUUCAGCCAACAGAUCGGUCUCAUAUGGUAUCAUCGGCGGUUUUGUGCUCCUGUAAUUUAAUUGCAGUUUGUCCACCACAACUUAUUGUUAGCCUGAAAUAUACUGUCGUUGCUUCGCCAGCGACCAGCGCUGCUGCGCGUUCCACCACUCGGUCUCACCAGAUUAACACAACCAUGAGAUGGGAUCGGUAAGGUGGUGUUUGGAGGUCAGGUUUCUGAUUAAGAGGUUGAGAGCUUGAACAAAAGGGUUGAGAUCUAUCUAUUCUAUUUAAGAUGAACUAAAGCUUUCUUGAAUCGAUCCAACCCUUCAACCUUGGUGUUACGGCUGCUACUCAGAAGGAUCUUACAUCUGGUAUGCAAUAUCUUCUUCUUAUCAACCUUAAGCUUAAUGGCGGCGGUGGAAAGGGUGUUCGGGUCUGGUCGAGUCAAAUUCAAGGGCUUUCAUGACAUUUGGAACCAAAAGCUUGAUUAGGUGAAUAGCAAAGGGGUUGCUUGCCCAGGGAGGGUUAUAGUCAGCUCAAUGGGUGUUAGACCUAUUUAAGGGCUCACCUGGUGCACAACACAUGGAUUGCUGGCACAACACAAAAUACUUGUGAUUAUUGUUUUUUUAAGGUUAUAUGUUGGAAGCAAUAACGAGACCCUUCUUAAAGACCCCCGGUAUCUUGGAUUGCAAGAACACUGUCUUGAAGGUGCGGAGUAUGUUUCCAUCAUUGAUGAAUUUAUGCCGUAUGAUUUCUCUGGAAGUUGUAGCAAUUGGAAGAACAUUUGCUGGAAUGAAAGAUUAUCAGCUGGAUGGAAACAAAGAAAUGGUGGCACUAGGCUCCAUGAACAUGGUCAUUAAGCAACAUUCUAUUCAUGGAACUUCUGUAUAGGCGCAAGUUUGUCUAAAUUUUAACCUUUUGAUAUGUUUAUAAGUUGUACACAAAAUGUUAAGAAACACAAGUUGGGUUGAACGUUUUAGCUUGUUAGGAAAAACAAUCCAAGGCGGAUUGGUUUGAUUAGUUUUAAGCUUAUGGUUGUGCUUUUGUUGGCUUGGCGCAGUUCGUUUUGUUUACAUCUUUUUAAAACUCUUUAAAUCCCCAUGACCGGUUUUUAAGUACCUUAACCAAAAAUUAAGAUUUUAGUUACGACCCAAGUAAACAGAACCUUUUCAUGCACACCCUUAGAAUUACUAACAAGUGUUGUGUUUUGCGUUGCAUCGCGAAUUUGGUUUUUGUUAUGGCUCAAAACCGAACUGCCCCGUACAUAGCCCUAAACUCACCAACCUAAAUUAUAUGUUUCCCGCCGCAUCGCGCGGGUAUACGACUAGUAACUGGAUGGUUAAAUUGGUAAUUUAACACCAAGUUUUUAAGAUGGCAUACCAAGAGUCUCUUCAUCUGCAAUCCUGCCUCGCUGUGUUCUCAACGUUCUUCCAUUUGGUUUCUGCCUCAGCUUUGCCAUCACCGGAAGGGCAUGUGUAUGUUUUGAUUUUAGUCAUAAAUUCCCAACACGAUCCUUCAAUUGAGUCUUUAAAUGUUUUAUUAUGUCAAUCUGGUGUUAAUUUCAGUUUUGCUAUUACUUGGUCUUUAAAUAUUGUAUGCAGCUGAUCGAUGUGUUUGUAAUUGUUGAAGAUAGUGAGUGAUAUUCAUGUCCUAUUUGCAAUCUUGUUUUAGUUUUGAUUAAACAAACCCCUAUUGUUGUGACAUUUUUCCUAAUUAGUCCCUCCGACAGGGGCUGAGGGGGUGUUUCAUAUGGCUAAUUAGGAACUGCGUAUUGGUGUGAUAUGUUAUGAGGGUGUUUGUGAUUGCGUAUUGGAACUGCUUGUUUGAUUUGUUACAAGGGUUUUGAAUAACCACCUUGAAUUUUCUUCUUUUCUCAAGAUCAAGAUCCGAGUGUCGGCUGUAGUUACAAAUGCUGAAUGUUGAUUGUGAUCGCCACAUAAACAACAGUAAAGCCCUGUAUUCCCACAACGGUCGUGUUCUUUAAUAUCAACAUGAAAGGGCUGGAUGGACCUGUUUACGUGGGAACCAGCAUAUGAGGCAAAACCUGCAGCUGCUUGCCAAAAUGUUGUUGUUUUGCAAAGGAGAAAACCCAAAUACAUGCAUUCGAGGUUAUUCAUGCAUGGUUAAGCUAUUUCCCAAUCAACGGAGAUCUUUUUGAGGCUAAAGUUGUUCAUUGGUCGAAAGAUGGUAAGACUUUGAAGAAGCCAUUGAGAAGGAACGAUUGGAUGCUGAGUUGAAGCUUGUUGGGAAGUAGAUGCAAACGUGAAUAUAAUGCUUGAGGAGAAGGACCCACGUAGGUAGGAUCUUUGAGGAGAACGAGCACGUAUGGUUUGUUGGAUAAGAGCCAGAACAAGCUCACGUACUUGUUGGCUCUCACUUUUGACAACUUUCUUGAAUGCCCGCGUCAGACCCUUGUGUUCAAGACUGGGUUGGAAGGCACCGCUGGUGAAGCACAUUGACUUCUCACUCACAAGCCCAUUUGGAGGUGGAGAUGCUGACGAAGAAUGAGCUUACUCUUCUGGUCAUCAUUAUGCCUUUAUAGAACGUCGACAUGUUUGCUGAUAUGGUCUUCUCGUACUUGGUUUUUCUUUGUGGUGUUCAUUGAUUGCAAUAAUAAUAAUAUCCUAACCUUAUAAUUGAAAA